This 620-nucleotide ribosomal RNA is filed under the name uncultured bacterium. Its description in RNAcentral is "bacterial SSU rRNA". It matches the Rfam family "Bacterial small subunit ribosomal RNA", at positions 202 to 842 of the family's 1533-position model. The record is from RNAcentral.
AAAAACCACGGUGGUACGGGAUGGGCCCGCGUCCGAUUAGUUAGUUGGCGGGGUAACGGCCCGCCAAGACCGCGAUCGGUAGCCGGCCUGAGAGGGCGGACGGCCACAUUGGGACUGAGACACGGCCCAGACUCCUGCGGGAGGCAGCAGUGGGGGAUAUUGCACGAUGGGGGGAACCCUGAUGCAGCGACGCCGCGUGGGUGAGGAAGUACCCCGGUAUGUAAAGCCCUUUCGGCAGGGAAGAAAAUGACGGUACCUGGCGAAGAAGCCCCGGCUAACUACGUGCCAGCAGCCGCGGUAAUACGUAGGGGGCAAGCGUUAUCCGGAUUCACUGGGUGUAAAGGGAGCGCAGGCGGUACGGCGAGUCUGAUGUGAAAACCCGGGGCCCAACCCCGGGACCGCACCGGAUACUGCCGGACUCGAGUGCCGGAGGGGCAGGCGGAAUUCCUGGUGUAGCGGUGAAAUGCGCAGAUAUCAGGAGGAACACCGGUGGCGAAGGCGGCCUGCUGGACGGUAACUGACGCUGAGGCUCGAAAGCGUGGGGAGCGAACAGGAUUAGAUACCCUGGUAGUCCACGCCGUAAACGAUGAAUACCAGGUGUCGGCGGGCACGGCCCGCCG